AACGAACGCUGGCGGCGCGCUUAACACAUGCAAGCCGAACGAGAAGGCGUAGCAAUACGCUUGUACAGUGGCGAACGGGUGAGGAAUACAUGGGUAACCUACCCUCGAGUGGGGGAUAACCCGCCGAAAGGCGGGCUAAUACCGCGUACGCUUCCGAUCUUGCGGGAUUGGAAGGAAAGCUGUCCCUUGGGGAUGGCGCUCAAGGAUGGGCUCAUGUCCUAUCAGCUUGUUGGAGGGUAACGGCCUACCAGGGCAUCGACGGGUAGCUGGUCUGAGAGGACGAUCAGCCACACUGGCACUGCGACACGGGCCAGACUCCUACGGGAGGCAGCAGUGAGGAAUAUUGCGCAAUGGGCGAAAGCCUGACGCAGCGACGCCGCGUGGGGGAUGAAGGUCUUCGGAUUGUAAACCCCUUUCGGGAGGGAAGACGGCCUUAGACAACUAAGGCGGACGGUACCUCCAGAAGCAGCCACGGCUAACUUCGUGCCAGCCGCCGCGGUAAG
RNAcentral lists this ribosomal RNA (503 nucleotides) under uncultured bacterium. RNAcentral describes it as "bacterial SSU rRNA". It matches the Rfam family "Bacterial small subunit ribosomal RNA", at positions 29 to 524 of the family's 1533-position model. The record is from RNAcentral.